AAACAUUUUAGGGGAUACUGUUUUUUAAAUUUUGUAGUUCAUCGGAGUUCUCCGGGAGUCCACCACCCAAAAACCCCUUUUCCUUUUCCCUUUUGCAACAAAACCAGUCCCUAUUCUUCCUGUUACCAAGACCCCAUCCCUUUUACACACCUCUAAUAACCCAUAUCUGUUCCUCUUCACUUGAACCACCAUUUCCCCACUAAACCACAACCAAAAACCUCUCUUCAUUUUGCUUAUUUUUCUAGCAAGCGAACAACCAGAAGAACACCACCCCCCUGUUCUUUUGUAGCUCCGUCCAACAAGUAUUAAGCCCUUUCUUCUCCUCCUCUUUCCAGUCAGCAAAUCAGACUACAACCGCCUCCAAACAGCUAGAAAUGAACCUUAAACAACCCCUUCUACUUUUCCGUUUUCCGGUUGUCUCAAAGUCGAAACGACCCCUUCCCUUUUUUUCCCUUUCAAGUUUUUGUUUGUUUUGUAGGUUGUCAGCGAGCUCCAUCUCCGGCGAACAAGCUUGUGGGUUGUGACAAUCGAUAGAGGUCACCAACAAUUCAAUUUCCGGCAAGGUUCUAAGCUCGGGUCUAUGUGAUUGCUCUGAUCAAUUUUUAGGGCUUCUGAAGGACUUUGAGAGAUUCUUCGAGAACUGUCUACUUUCAAAUGAAAAUCAACAAAAUCAAUUGGCUAGAGAAGCAGAGCUUGAACCUAAGCAUGUCAGGAUUUGUUUUCAAAACAAAAGGACACAAAUAAAGGUUACUUGGGUGGAUCAUGUUCAAGUAUAUGAAAAAAAUCAAGUACAUUAUAUCUUUAGAGACUUGUUGUGUGAUCGUCAAACAUACAGAGCUAAAAGAUGGAUUGUUACACUGCAAUUGAUGUUUGAAAGAUAUAAUUUUGUCAUGGGUGCAAUAUGCCCUACUAGGCAUGAUUUUAAAGGAGGUUUGAUUUUAUAUUCCUUUUUAUUUACUUACUACCUUUUUGAAAUGGCCUGUA
Long non-coding RNA from Solanum pennellii, 984 nucleotides. RefSeq lists it as uncharacterized. The record is from RefSeq and is a predicted model, not a curated record. The transcript has 4 exons. NCBI's taxonomy places the organism in Eukaryota, Viridiplantae, Streptophyta, Magnoliopsida, Solanales, Solanaceae.